UCCGGAUGUCGCUUCAAAAGUAUUUAACGAUCUCACACAUCAUAAGGGGCACCCCCUGUCACGCCCAAUAUGCGACCCUAUCCAAAAGGAACUCGAAGGUCCCACCAAGGAUAGACCCGCAUAUUGAAACGCUUUGCAAGGUGGAUAUCAUUACAUCAACAUUACAUAAUAGAUGGGGAUACAUACAUAAGGAUUACAAUGCCACACGAAUACAACAUCACAAUACAUAAGAGCAUCAUCCGUCUACGGAUGAAUCACAAACAGAAACUCAAACGACAUCCACCCUGCUAGCCCAGGCUGCUGACCUGGAACCUAUCCCCUGAACGAAGAAGAAGCAGAAGAAGAACUCAACGCAAGCAAGCAUCGCUCUCGCGUCAUGAUCAUCGCAUAAACCUGUACCUGCAACUGUUGUUGUAGUAAUCUGUGAGCCACGAGGACUCAGCAAUCCCAUUACCAUGGGUAUCAAGACUAGCAAAGCUUAAUGGGAAAGGAAGGGGGAAAAUGGUGAGGCUGCAACAGCGACUAAGCAUAUAUGGUGGCUAACAUAUGCAAACAAGAGCGAGAAGAGAGCAAGCAGAACGGUCGUGAAGCUAGCAAUGAUCAAGAAGUGAUCCUAAACUCCUACUUACGUCAAACAUAACCCAGAAACCGUGUUCACUUCCCGGACUCCGCCGAGAAGAGACCAUCACGGCUACACACGUGGUUGAUGCAUUUUAAUUCGGAUCUGGUGUCAAGUUAUCUAAACCGGACAUUAACAAAUUCCCAUCUGCCUAUAACCGCAGGCACGGCUUUCAAAAGAUUAUACCCUGCAGGGGUGUCCCAACUUAGCCCAUGACAAGCUCUCGCGAUCAACAGAGGAAUAGACCUUCUCCCAGGAAGACCCGAUCAGACUCGGAAUCCCGGUUUACAAGACAUUUCGGCAAUGGUAAAACAAGACCAGCAAAGCCGCCCGAUGUGCCGACAAAUCCUGAUAGGAGCUGCACAUAUCUCGUUCUCAGGACACACCGGAUGAGCAAGACGACGGGUUGGCAUAGACCCUGGUUGCCCAGGGGGCGCCGGACAUCGCUCGGUUUGGACCAACACUUAGACAAGCACUGGCCCAGGGGGGCUAAAAUAAAGAUGACCCUCGGGCUCCGGAAACCCAAGGGAAAAAGGGCUAGGUGAGGCAAAUGGUAAAACCAAUGUUGGGCCUUGCUGGAGGAGUUUUAUUCAAAGCGAACUGUCAAGGGGGUCCCAUAAAUCACCUGACCGCGCAAGGAACGCAAAAUCCGGGAACAUAACACCGGUAUGACGGAAACUAGGGCGGCAAGAGUGGAACAAAACACCAGGCAAAAGGCCGAGCCUUCCACCCUUUACCAAAUAUGUAGAUGCAUUAAUAAUAUAAGAGAUAUUGUGAUAUCCCAACAAAAUCCUGUCCACCAUGGAGCAAUCUUCAACUUCACCUGCAACUAGCAACGCUAUAAGAGGGCUGAGCAAAGCGGUAACAUAGCCAAGCAACGGUUUGCAUAGGUAAGGUGUCAAAGGAUAGAGGUUCAUGGCAAUAUGGGAUGGCUUGAUAAACAGGUAAUAGGUAGCGCAGCAUAGCGAUAGAACGAAGCAACUAGCAUAGCAAUGAUAGUAGUGAGAUCCAGGGUAGCGGUCAUCUUGCCUGAAAUCCCGCAAGGAAGAAGAACGAGUCCAUGAAGUAGACGAACCAACGUAGUCGAACGAAUCCUCACGAACGCAACGUUACCGGAACUAAGAAGCAACACCAGAAAGAAGCAAACAACAUGGUAAACACACAAGCAUAAACAUGGCAUGAUGCACAAUCAAGUAUGAUGCAUGUCCGGUUUAAUGAGGCAUGGCAUGGAAAAGUGCAACAAACAAUACUACAAGUUAAGUGGAGCUCAAUAUGCAACGAGUUGCAUAUUGACAAAACACCACAUCAAUUAUUUAGUUCUCUCUCGGUUAUGAUACUCAACAAAUAUUAAAUGUUAAUUAACAUGGCAAGGGGUGAAGCAUAAGUAAACUAACUAUUUAGGCAAGUUUAAAUGAGGCCGGAAAUAACGAACAACAAUUCCGGAAAAAUCCCCAUGUGCAUAUUAUGGAUUUGGUACUGUUCUGCCCUAAACACCAUUUUAAUGUUGUUAAACAGGAAAAUAAAGUGCACCAUGUUAAACUAGGCAUUUUCCACCCCAUUUACAUAUAAAGUUUAUUAAAAACGGAGCUACAAUUAUUUAGUUAUGAAUUAAAGCAUUUUAACAUGGCAUAUUAGCAAAUUAAUGCAAACAUCAAUUUAAACAUUUUAAACAUGGAUGAAAAUGGCAUAUUAUUAAUCUACACAAUUUUCUAAGCAUUUUACAUAUAUAAAUUAUUUACAUAUGAUGCAUAUUUGUGAGUUAUUAAAUGCAUGAACAACAGGGGGUUUUCUGCAAUUCUGUAAUUCUACGGAUAAUGACAAAAUUCGCAGGCAGGUAAAAAAAAUACAUGCGGGCCAAAUCUAGUCUACCGGGCUGCACAGGUCAGGGGCGCUUGGGGGGGGGGUUCUCACCCAUGGGCUCGGCCCAGGUCGGUGGAGGAGGCCUGGCAGGCCGCGGGGGAAGAUGGGUCAGGGCGCUGGCCCACGCGCUCGUCAACGGGAGCGAACCGGCGAGGUGCUCGCUGGGCCUGGAGGCCACUGGACUGCGGGGCCUGGAGGAGGCUGGCUGGGCCUUGGAGCGGAUCUGGAGGCGCGCUGCUGGAUCGAACAAGGGAGGGGACGCGGUCAAUGCGCGGGCGAGGCGCUCGUCUCCUCGUUCGCGAAACAGGGGAUCGAGCGACAGGAGGAAGGAAGCGGCGGCGCUGGAGGGUCCUGGUGGCCGGAUUUGGCGAUGCGGCGGGGUAGACGAGGUCCUGGAGGCGCUCGGGCAGAGGUGGGGAAGGCCAUGGCGCCGGAGUCUUGUCGGUUCCCGCGCACGACGCACAGGCAGGAGGCGGCAGCGCUACAAGGAGAACAGAGAGAGGGAAAGAGAUGUGAGGGAGGAGGAGACCGAAGGAAGGGGAAGGGCGCGCUGUGGGACGGCGGAACUGACCGGAUCCAGGACGAGGACGCGAACUCCGGCGAAAGACGGCGAUUCCCGGCAGCGGCGAGCUCCGGUGGUGGCGCCACGGUCUACUGCUGCUCGCGGGACGGAGGGGGGAUCUGGAGGUCGGGCACGAGGUCACCGGUAGCAGGUCGAGCUCCUGCUCGAGGAAGGAGGCACGCGAGGACGAUGCAGAGCAGCCAUUCCUAGAGGCCGGCGACGGCUGCUCCGUCGAGGCAGAGAAGAUCGAGGCGGGAUCGUGGCUGCGGGGCACUGUGGUGGACCGGUGGGGAUGAACUGGUGGCCUAGGGGCCAUCGGAUCUUGAUCUGGUGGCUCCAGAUCAAGGUGGAAGAUGGCUGGCUGGAUGAGGCUGGGUGUGUGUGGUCGGUUGCGAGGUGGAGAGCAGCGGCUGGAUCGCUGGUGAUCCCGAGGGAAUGGAGACAGCGGCGGCGGCGAUUGGACAGGGGAGGAUCCCUAGAAAAAUAGGGUUUGGUCUUAAGUUACUAGGGAUGGACUAUAUAUAUAUAUAUAUAUAAAGAGGAGUUUGGAUCAUCCGAUUUAAAUCCGACGGUCGAGAAUAAAAUGCUUUGGGAGUCCAAACAAAUAAACGAAGAUAUUUUAGGGAUGUUUGGGGAUGAUCCGGAUCCAUCGGAAACGACAGACCGGUUCGGGUUCGGAAGAGGUUUCGGACGCGCGCGAGGGGGUCUAUGGUUGUGCAAAGAGGGGGUUGGGCUGAGAAGAGAGAGGAGAAGGCAGCCCGGCACGAUUUUCGGAGACCGAAAACGUCCGACGAAGGUACCGGCAACGAUACCGCUAUACAUUUAACGGUUGGGCUAUCAGAUGGACUCCGAAUGCGACGAAACUUGGCAGACGGCCUGUCUACACUAUAAUAAGACCGCAUGACAAGUUGCAACCCAUUCAGAGAACAUUUUUAUGCCGCUUAUAAAAUAAUAUUUCGGAGGUGCCGCGGGCGCGUGCGAGUGUGGUCGGGCUCAGAACGAACAACGGAGAGAACCGGCGGAACACGAACGGAUGCAAGUUUUAUGAAAACGAUGCCGAUGCAAUGCGCAUGAUGCUAUGAGAUGAGAUGCAUAACAAGAACAAAAUGCAAAACAACAAAUAAAACCCAACCACGAAGGAAAUAUCAUAUAGCAUCUCCAGAAAAGGCAAGAGUCGGAGUUACGAAUAUGGAAAGUUGUAUCCGGGGCGUUACAACACUCCACCACUACGAGAGGAUCUCGUCCCGAGAUCUAGGAUGGCACCGGAGGGAAAACAGAAAGGAAGAGAAGAGGUAAAACUAAGUUGCUUCUUCGACAAAUGAGUGAAACCACGAACCUUGAGAGGUUGAGCAAUUAGAGAUGAACGAGAUUGCAAACAAUCCGUUAGAAAAGAGGAACAAGGAACAUCCGAGAACCUUGUAGGUUUAGUGAUAAGAUAGAUAUUGAAAACCACUCCAGUUGAAAAGAGAAGCAAGAUAUACAAGAGAAUUUGGGCAGCACUCCGGUAGAAAAGAGAAGGAAAACUUGAUAAGAUGAGAGAACUUGAAUGAGAACACAACACUCCGGUUAAAUGGAUAAGCAUGAAAAGAACACGGUCCUCGCAAUUCGAGAUGAUGAGUGAAAAGAGCAACAUCACAAUGCCUCCGGAACGAAAGAAUAGAAGCUAGAUCGUUGGGAUAAAGGGUCGGAGAAGAAAAUGACAACUUGUGUCACAAAUGAGCUUGGGAAGCACCCUUCCAAGAAGGUUAGAACGGAGUUGUUGGAAAACCAACAACGAAAAGAACAAGCUUGUUGUGGGCUUAUGGCAAACAUCUCAAAAUGAUGAGGUGACAACCGGCCACUAACGAAAAACAAUUGCUUGUUUGAGAUCAAAGAAGAGAUGAAAACUUCUUCCACCAAGAGGAUAAAGAGCAAGCUUGGGUCAUGCAUAAUCACCACAAUUAGCAACAACCCUUAAGGAAAGGCUUUAGGUGAAAUAUAACCCAAGAUAACUCCAACAAUGAGGUUGAUUGGUCGAAAAGAUCUCUUGAACAAAGAGAAAAUGAUGGAUUUAAAAUACCUCAUUCUUGACAACAUAUGAAUCAUGAAACAUGAAGGAAAUUGUCAAGAGUGACAUAACACCACCUCAAGAGAUAUUGCAGAAGGAAUUGCACUUUGGAAUGCAAGAUGAAGAAUGCUUGAACACCUCAAAACAAAACAAGUGUUGAGCACCAUGUUUAUUUUGAAGUAUGGCUUGACGGAUCAUAGCUUCGAGAGAAAACUUGAGGAACAAUUGAAGAAUGAAAGAAUCCUUGACGAACCACCAAGUAGAGCCUCCAUGAAGAACUCCGGUAAUAAAAGGAUGAUAGAAAGAAAGAGAAGAUGAAACACAAGGUGAAGCCUUGCAAUGUUUUAGAUGGAGCUUUGCGACGAUAUAACCAAGAAAACUUGGAACUCCGAAAAAGGAAAAGAUGAACACUAGAACCGAGAAUUACUUCAUCAUGAACAAUCUCCGGAAGAAGGAAUUAAUCACUUGGAUGAAACAAGAAUAAGAAUUACGGUAUGCGUAUCCUUCAUCAAAUUCAAUUGAUGACAAGCAAUGGAUUUGGCACACUACUUAUUCCCGUAGAAAGGAUUAAAAGAGAUAUAGCGCAAACUUGAGAAGGUAUUGAUGGAACCACCGGUGGGAUUGAAAAGAACGAAUGAAUGAAUGAAUUGAUACGAUGACGAAGGAAGAGAAAUCUUGAAUGAACCACCGUAUGAAUUGAAAACGAACGAAGUAAAGGGGUGAAUCACCGGUAAGAAUUAGAGAACGAAUGAAGAUACUUGAGGGAAUUUGAUACAAGAGAACAAAGAGAUCACGAGCUGAUUAGAGAAUACUUGAGCAAUGCACCGGUAAGAUUUGGAUAACGAGAGCUGAAAUGUGAGGACGAAGAAUUAUGACAUGAUGGCCUUCGGAGGAAAGAAAUGGAAACAACUCAUGAAAUGCUCCGGAUGGUAAGAAAAGAAUUAUGCAAUCGAAAACAAUUAUGAGAGGAUGGCAUGAAGCUAGAACCAUGAAUCUUGAAGAGAAUGGAGCAAGAUUUAAGAGAAAGUCUUCUUCGGUCUUCAAAUGUUGAGAGUGAUGAUGAGAACCACCAUGCAUUGUUGAGAUACUCCGGAACAAAGAAGAAUAGAAAUGAUGAACCAACGAUGAAAAUAUUCUGAAAGCGAUCUUGGAUAAGGAAAAUGACUGAUGAAAAUUCAUUCUUACGUCAAACUUCGAAAGACUUUGGGAAUGGCUCCGGGAAAAUUAGAAGAGUCAGGUAAGAUCCUGGGAAAAGACCUGUGGGUUAGGGCCCACUCGAAAGAAACACCAUUGAAAUAAUUGAUUGAAAGGGGGGAUUGCACCGGUUGAAUUAAAUGACUUGAAUGAUAUAACAACCUCGAAAUAUCUUGGACGGAUUAAGAAUGGAAACACAAAUCUUGUGAGAUAUCUUCAGCACUCCCGAACAAAUGAAUAGCAAGAGGUGAGUUAUUGAGAGGUGCACCGGCAUGAGAAAGCAUUUGAAACGAGGAAAGGGAUAUGAUUAACACCGAAAGCUUGAGUUAAAACCACCGGAAAAGAAUACGAGAAUGAAGAAUGAUGAACUUGAAGCUCGUGAGCAUCUUCACGAGGGAUCACCGGAUCAAAACAAUGAUUGAAAAGAGUGAAGAGACUUCACAUGAAUAAAUGGAUACUUGAUUAAGAUAUAUGAGUCCUUGAAGAAAAAGGGUGGGAGGGCGGGAAAAACAAAAACAACUUGGGACGAAUGGAAGAAACACCAUUGAGAAAACUUAGAAUUGAUCUUGCGGAUGUUGAAAAUGAUUGGAUCCACUUGAAGAGAAGCACGCCGGUUGGAAAAGAAUUAACAUGACGACCUCGAUGAUCAAGAAGGAUUAGUAUUCACAUAGCAAUAUGAGAACACCGUUUAAGAAAGGUAUGGAUUCAACACUUGACUUCGAAGCAACUCGAAUACCACAAAUAAAACAAAACAAAGGAUUGGCUUGCAGAAUAAGCCGGAACAAACAUAUGAUAGAGAUUUCGUCCGAAGUUUUCAUGGUGGGGCCCACACGGGCUCGAGUGUACAGCACCAUCAUGUACAAGGCAGUGCACAUGACAUAUGAAGUGUCCCCGAACCAGCAUAGCCAAGGGUUCUUUAAGACACAACGAGACCACUAUAAAAACGACCGUGGAAAGGCGGACCACUAGACGUCGAACCCCAAUCUCAUAUCAUGCAUCUGUCGAAAAGAUAUUCUAGGGACUACUUGAAUUCCCACCUAUAAAACUCCCAAAACUUUCUGGUUAUGCAAUCUGGUGUUGGGGAUACAGGGGAAGCAAUAUAUCUCACCCAAACUAACAAUACCUACAUCCAAGCUGUAUCCAUCCGUCAACACAUAACCAAAAAACCUUCGGAAAUCGUGUACCUCAACCUUCGAAAAGCAUUCGUUAUACGAGUUAUGGCAAUACUCCCGAGCUCACCCCAGUACUGGGUUAUCGGGGUUAUCUCACCAACAACUGCAUAAAAGAGAUUUUCGAUGUCGGCAAAACUCAGGUAUUCCAGAACUGCAAUGAUAAAAUUGUGACGACAACACCUCGGAGAUCAACUCCCCGGGUCAAAGCCACAUAAAUAGACAGGAGGCACCAAGAACAAUGUUCUCGUCACAAAAUCAUCGGAACGAUUCCAAGAUACCCGCGUGAUCCUAAAAAAAUUUAGUGAAAUUUGAGGAGAGGAAAGUCAAAACAUCUACGUUAGGAGACCUCACCAGAGCGAUGAAGGGGCUGAGGAGUAAAAAGAAUCCUACUCUCCGAUAUAUAUAAUCCUAAGACUCAAAAUAGUUUUCUUUCUAGACUCAACAACGGCCAACAAUCAAGGGGGCUCCUAAGGUCGGUCGAGGCUCUGAUACCAACUUGUCACGCCCAAUAUGCGACCCUAUCCAAAAGAAACUCGAAGGUCCCACCAAGGAUAGACCCGCAUACUGAAAUGCUUUGCAAGGUGGAUAUCAUUACAUCAACAUUACAUAAUAGAUGGGGAUACAUACAUAAGGCUUACAAUGCCACACGAAUACAACAUCACAAUACAUAAGAGCAUCAUCAGUCUACGGAUGAAUCACAAACAGAAACUCAAACGACAUCCACCCUGCUAGCCCAGGCUGCCGACCUGGAACCUAUCCCCUGAUCGAAGAAGAAGCAAAAGAAGAACUCAACGCAAG
Molecule: long non-coding RNA, 8252 nt
Filed under: Triticum aestivum (bread wheat)
Lineage: Eukaryota; Viridiplantae; Streptophyta; Magnoliopsida; Poales; Poaceae
Description: long non-coding RNA (TAES_LNC003201)
Source: RNAcentral